UGGUAGUUUGAUAAUCUUAGAUAUGGAAAGGCAUUCUGUAUGGUAGUAUCUGAGUAAGAAAAGAUUCUUACUAGAUUAAAUAUACAUAAACGCUACCAAAUUUCUAACAUUGCUCCUUAUGUAUGUAUUCAUUUGAAGCCUUUAGUAAUCCACAUAAGCAUAUUGCAGGUAACAAGGAAGACUGUGGAGUUAUUAAUGCAGAGGGGAAAAAAAGACACUGAUAACUACUUAGUAAGUGCAAAAUUCAAGAAGGAUCCUAACUGUUAUGUAGAACCUGGUGUGUAACCUUAAAUGAUCCUAUGUAAUCUUAAAUGUAACUCUGAAGAGAAGAUCAUACUUUCCUGUCUUUUUGAUUCCUACAAUCAAUAACCUUCAAAUGCAAAUCCAGGUAUAUGUAUGGCUACUCUAGUGCACUUCUGCUUUACAGGCAAACAUUUCUUCAAAGUCAAGCAGAAGGUCCUGUCUUGAUCAUAAGGUAUAAUAAAUGAAAAUGUGUUUUAAAAUAAAUCAUGGUGCACCAUAUCUUGAUCUGAAAUUUAGGGAAAACCCUGAAACCAGACAGCUCUUAUUCAUCUCUAACGUGCAUUUCCUCCCUUCCUUACUUUUGUAGAAUGAAUUAACUAUGAUUCUGUAUAAAAUAUCAGAGAAAUCUCAGAGAAGCCUCCCUUUCUCAGUUCUUGCAGCAGCCAAGGUGAAAGGAUCUUUUCUGAGGAAAUAUACAGAGGUUUCUUCGUUAGAGAGCAGAAACUGCAGAAGGUGAAAGUGUUACACAGCUCUUCUGCAAAAAUCCACCAGAAAUCUUCUGCCAGUUCCUGGUUAAAACAGGACAACAAAACUGACCAUGCAGAGCGUACCACACAGUGUAACACAGCUGCACAGACAGCUGUUGGCACAGAGCAAGCACAGAAUUGUAGCAGUGGACAUUACGCAGCCAGUGCUGCAGCUUGAACGAGGCUGAAAGUUAAGGACAAAAGUAUUGCUAAAGAGAGCAAAGAAGAUCAGCAUGGUGAAGAAAAUAAUUAAAGAGCAAUCACUCUCUUGCUGAAGUAAUUCAAUAUUUGCAAUCUUUAUGAUAUCAAUGUAUUAUCAAUUUUUCAUAAUUCUAGAAUUUCUGGGAAACGUGACAUGUGCAAGCAUAUUUAAAAUAAAAUUUUGUGAGAUG
This 1162-nucleotide long non-coding RNA is filed under the name Phasianus colchicus (ring-necked pheasant). RNAcentral describes it as "lncRNA (ENSPCLG00000001509.1)". Lineage: Eukaryota; Metazoa; Chordata; Aves; Galliformes; Phasianidae. The record is from RNAcentral.